GUCUGAUUGGUGUGGUCGAAGAUCCAACCGAACCUGCAAACCAGGACUCACCAAUCAACACCAGCUGGCCUACUAAUAGUUUGUGUUUCUGCAGUUGGAGGCGACUGUGAGCCAGUGAUCAGUUCGCCUUGUUGUUGGUUGUGUACCCUUGUGAAUUUCUUGAGUGUUGAAUUUACCUGUUUCUGUCGGUUGCCUGCUUAAGUGACUCCUGUCAGUUAGAAACCUUGUGAACUACAGAGUGUGAGUGGCACUCUUUAGGGUGGAACAUUGUCUGUUUGGUUACCCUACAUUCUUGUAAAGCAUGUAGGUACUGACCUCCUUUUGUUCAGUGUUUUUUUUGAGUAGAGAGCUGUCUUUGGACACUACCUCCUUUUGUUUCUGUUUUUUUGUCAGUACUUACAUAGCCUCCUUUCGUUGUGUUUUUUCUGAGACAAAUCAUUUAAUUAAACAAUUGACUCAAACCUGAAUUCAGUUGUCCUUACCACCUUCAUCUAUCCCAAAUACCUUGUUACUGCCCUAUCCUAACGAGCUGGGUUGUAACACAGGUGAAAAGACGCAUAGAGUAAAAUUAAUACAAAUAAUUAGUUUACAUGUAAAGUUUACACAUUCAAACUGGCUAGCUGUUAGCUCGACCAAACGCGGCCUUAGACAAACAAACAGCAUUGUCAUUGAAUUGGCCAUUUUCUCCUGGGAUGGCCCCUUAUCCUGUCAGUGGGUGUAGAAGUGGACUCGAUGAAUUCUGUUCCUGUACUUUGAUAUAAUCCACCCCUGGUAGGGAGUAGACUUGCUAGCUGUGCACAAGGUUACUGCUGUCACCAUCGUCAACAGAAAACAAUGUUGUCCUGAAAGGCUGCUGGGGACACAGAUCCUGAUUAGGAAGUCAACGUCGUACAAUAACAUCGAAAACCCCAGUUGUGGUGUUAUCUCAUCAGUGGAGGGUACAUCAGUAUUCACAUUCCAGUGUGCAGGCAUGGAAGGUCGCUACGUCAUUGUGACCAUUCCAGGAGACUGGAAGGUUCUGACGCUAUGUGAAGUGAAUGUGUAUGCUUCUCUGGCAGUACCAGUAGUUGUCAUUCUUCUCUUUCUACUGCUCCCCCUCCUCCCACUGUGAACAUGCUACUGAGUGGCAGGAAUGUGACAGCGGUGGGAGAGUCAUCCAUGCAUUGAUGCAUUCAUUUUCAAGGCCAUCACAUGGGGGUUUCUCUCACUGUAAUGUCAUGUAACCAUCAGUCUGAUGGAGGGCGGAUGACUCGAUAUCUCUUGACCUCUGAGAGUUAGCUGAGACCAAGAUUGUCACCUUUUCUCAGCUAAGAGCCUGUUCUUUCUUAUUGUUUAUUUUCUAAUUGUUUGUGUGGUUUUUGUUAACAGUAUUCCCAUAUUUGAGAUGAACUAAGAAAUCUGGGCACUGCAGUAAACCACUGAUUAAAUUUAACAAAACAUUAUUAAUUCAUACAUUAUAAUCUCAACAUAAGUAGUGACUAUAUAAAC
Long non-coding RNA from Micropterus dolomieu (smallmouth bass), 1488 nucleotides. RefSeq lists it as uncharacterized. NCBI's taxonomy places the organism in Eukaryota, Metazoa, Chordata, Actinopteri, Centrarchiformes, Centrarchidae. The transcript has 3 exons. The record is from RefSeq and is a predicted model, not a curated record.